Molecule: ribosomal RNA, 66 nt
Filed under: Hookeria lucens
Lineage: Eukaryota; Viridiplantae; Streptophyta; Bryopsida; Hookeriales; Hookeriaceae
Description: partial 25S ribosomal RNA
Source: RNAcentral
GCGAUCAGGAGACCUCUAAUCGGAAAAGACUACCCGCUGAGUUUAAGCAUAUCAAUAAGCGGAGGA